GCGGGUAUGGCGAAAUUGGUAGACGCGCCAGACUUAGGAUCUGGUGCCGCAAGGCGUGGGGGUUCGAGUCCCUCUACCCGCA
RNAcentral lists this transfer RNA (82 nucleotides) under Haliscomenobacter hydrossis DSM 1100. Its description in RNAcentral is "tRNA-Leu (TAG) (tRNA-Leu-TAG-1-1)". It matches the Rfam family "tRNA". Rfam says of the family: Transfer RNA (tRNA) molecules are approximately 80 nucleotides in length. Their secondary structure includes four short double-helical elements and three loops (D, anti-codon, and T loops). Lineage: Bacteria; Pseudomonadati; Bacteroidota; Saprospiria; Saprospirales; Haliscomenobacteraceae. The record is from Rfam by way of RNAcentral.